CGUGGACCCGUGAUCCGGGUUGCGGACAGUGUCUGGUGGGUAGUUUGACUGGGGCGGUCUCCUCCUAAAGAGUAACGGAGGAGCACGAAGGUUGGCUAAUCCUGGUCGGACAUCAGGAGGUUAGUGCAAUGGCAUAAGCCAGCUUGACUGCGAGCGUGACGGCGCGAGCAGGUGCGAAAGCAGGUCAUAGUGAUCCGGUGGUUCUGAAUGGAAGGGCCAUCGCUCAACGGAUAAAAGGUACUCCGGGGAUAACAGGCUGAUACCGCCCAAGAGUUCAUAUCGACGGCGGUGUUUGGCACCUCGAUGUCGGCUCAUCACAUCCUGGGGCUGAAGUAGGUCCCAAGGGUAUGGCUGUUCGCCAUUUAAAGUGGUACGCGAGCUGGGUUUAGAACGUCGUGAGACAGUUCGGUCCCUAUCUGCCGUGGGCGCUGGAGAACUGAGGGGGGCUGCUCCUAGUACGAGAGGACCGGAGUGGACGCAUCACUGGUGUUCGGGUUGUCAUGCCAAUGGCACUGCCCGGUAGCUAAAUGCGGAAGAGAUAAGUGCUGAAAGCAUCUAAGCACGAAACUUGCCCCGAGAUGAGUUCUCCCUGAGACUUAGAGUCUCCUGAAGGAACGUUGAAGACGACGACGUUGAUAGGCCGGGUGUGUAAGCGCAGCGAUGCGUUGAGCUAACCGGUACUAAUGAACCGUGAGGCUUAACCUUACAACGCCG
Molecule: ribosomal RNA, 714 nt
Filed under: Salmonella enterica
Lineage: Bacteria; Pseudomonadati; Pseudomonadota; Gammaproteobacteria; Enterobacterales; Enterobacteriaceae
Description: partial 23S ribosomal RNA
Rfam family: Bacterial large subunit ribosomal RNA
Source: RNAcentral